Trifolium pratense (red clover) is the source of this 576-nucleotide long non-coding RNA. RefSeq lists it as uncharacterized. The record is from RefSeq and is a predicted model, not a curated record. NCBI's taxonomy places the organism in Eukaryota, Viridiplantae, Streptophyta, Magnoliopsida, Fabales, Fabaceae. The transcript is spliced from 2 exons.
CGAGUAUACCGCCGGGCAUGCCUGGCACGUGCCUGGGCUGCCCUUUUUCUUUUUUCUUUUUUCUUUUUUUUUUUUUUAAAUGAAAACAAAAACAGAAAAAGGAAGAGUAGUACUUGCUUUCUCUUUCUCGAUCCCUCUCUCUCAAAAUCGCUGCUCUCAGUUCCUCUCUCACCCGCCGGCCGCUGCUCUCAAUCCCUCUCUCCCUGCUCUCAAUCUCUCUCCCUCACCUCGCCGUAAAGCCGUUCAAUCUUCCGCCGCAGCCGCACCGCACUCACUCUUUCUCUUCGUCUCGUUUGAGGUUGCUUCAACCUAUAAAAUCUUUGUGGACAUUGAAGGGAGUUACGUUGGUUUCUAAUGGCUGGACAGAUGUGCAAAGGAGGCCUUUGAUAAAUUUUAUUGGCAUUUGUGAAGGAGGACAUAUAUUCUUAAAAGUCGUUGAUGGCUCUGAUGAAUAUAAAGACAAGUUUUACAUGACCAACAUAUUUAAUUCUAGAUGGGCAGACAUUGAGUACGCCCCUGAUAAAAUUUCCUCAAAAAAUUUGCCCAGGCUCUCUAACAUUCCUGGAGUCGCCACUG